GAAUUUUGGACAAUGGGCGAAAGCCUGAUCCAGCAAUGCCGCGUGCAGGAGGGAGGCCUUCGGGUUGUAAACUGCGUUUGUACGGAACGAAAGGCUUUGGGUUAAUACCCUGGAGUCAUGACGGUACCGUACGAAUAAGCAGCGGCGAACUAAGUGCCAGCAGCCGCGGUAAUACGUAGGGUGCAAGCGUUACUCGGAGUUACUGGGCGUAACGCGUGCGCAGGCGGUUUUGUAAGACAGAGGUGCAAUCCCCGGGCUCAACCUGGGAACUGCCUUUGUGACUGCAAGGCUAGAGUACGGCAGAGGGGGGUGGAAUUCCGCGUGUAGCAGUGAAAUGCGUAGAUAUGCGGAGGAACACCGAUGGCGAAGGCAACCCCCUGGGCCUGUACUGACGCUCAUGCACGAAAGCGUGGGGAGCAAAC
This 422-nucleotide ribosomal RNA is filed under the name uncultured bacterium. RNAcentral describes it as "partial 16S ribosomal RNA". It matches the Rfam family "Bacterial small subunit ribosomal RNA", at positions 359 to 773 of the family's 1533-position model. The record is from RNAcentral.